AUUCCAGCAGUCAGAUUCCUCUUGUAUCUGCCGAGCAGGUUAUGUUUACUAUGAUGAGAGGGGCAAGAAAAACCCUGACAGCAACAGUGAUCAGGACUGCCAGCUUCAGGUGGAUGAGCUCUGUGCUCCUGGAGAGGUCCGCCUCGCCUCCACGCGGCAGUGCGUUUCUCCCGAGCGAUACGACUGCUCUGCUGCUUGUGGACCUGCAGGCGGAGAGAUUAAUGCAGAGCUGGGCAUAUGUCACUGCAAGCAUUAUGUGUCUGCAGAGGAGCUCUGUGACCAAGCGUGUUUGCUGAGAGCCCUGCAGAUCUCCUUGAGAUUUGGCGUCAAUAGAGAGCUGCUUUUGAGGAUGGGUGAAAGAGAAGAGAGGGAAUUGACAAACAUUCUGGGUCCAGAUGAACAUGU
Molecule: non-coding RNA, 405 nt
Organism: Tinamus guttatus (white-throated tinamou)
Lineage: Eukaryota; Metazoa; Chordata; Aves; Tinamiformes; Tinamidae
Source: RefSeq, a predicted model, not a curated record